RNAcentral lists this long non-coding RNA (272 nucleotides) under Capsicum annuum. Its description in RNAcentral is "long non-coding RNA (CANN_LNC010649)". Lineage: Eukaryota; Viridiplantae; Streptophyta; Magnoliopsida; Solanales; Solanaceae. The record is from RNAcentral.
UUUGGUUUGAGUUGAGGCCAUUUUUGCUAAGAAGUCUGCUACUAGAUUUUCUUCUCUAUAACAGUGUCGAACUUGCAUUUGGACUUUGUUUUUGAUGUUGUUGAUAGAGUCUAUCAUCGGUUUGAGCUUCAUAUUGGUUACCCCACUGUUGUUGAGCAUGUUAACUAAGUCCAUAGAGUCGAGUUCUAGAGUAAAAUUGGUAUGCCCGAAUUGAUAGCACCAUUUAAGUUUAAGGUCGCAAACAUUUCAUUUAAGUUUACAGUGCAAUCUAU